CCUACGGGAGGCAGCAGUGGGGAAUAUUGGGCAAUGGGCGCAAGCCUGACCCAGCAACGCCGCGUGAAGGAAGAAGGCUUUCGGGUUGUAAACUUCUUUUAUCAGGGACGAAGCAAGUGACGGUACCUGAUGAAUAAGCCACGGCUAACUACGUGCCAGCAGCCGCGGUAAGACGUAGGUGGCAAGCGUUAUCCGGAUUUACUGGGUGUAAAGGGCGUGUAGGCGGGAGUGCAAGUCAGAUGUGAAAACUAUGGGCUCAACCCAUAGCCUGCAUUUGAAACUGUACUUCUUGAGUGCGGGAGAGGCAAGCGGAAUGCCGUGUGUAGCGGUGAAAUGCGUAGAUAUACGGAGGAACACCAGUGGCGAAGGCGGAUUGCUGGACAGUAACUGACGCUGAGGCGCGAAAGCGUGGGGAGCAAACAGGAUUAGAUACCCCUGUAGUC
This 443-nucleotide ribosomal RNA is filed under the name uncultured bacterium. RNAcentral's name for it is "partial 16S ribosomal RNA". It matches the Rfam family "Bacterial small subunit ribosomal RNA", at positions 338 to 795 of the family's 1533-position model. The record is from RNAcentral.